This 81-nucleotide transfer RNA is filed under the name Myxococcales bacterium LLY-WYZ-16_1. Its description in RNAcentral is "tRNA-Leu". It matches the Rfam family "tRNA". Rfam says of the family: Transfer RNA (tRNA) molecules are approximately 80 nucleotides in length. Their secondary structure includes four short double-helical elements and three loops (D, anti-codon, and T loops). Lineage: Bacteria; Pseudomonadati; Myxococcota; Myxococcia; Myxococcales. The record is from RNAcentral.
GCCCGGGUGGCGGAAUGGUAGACGCGGCGGAUUCAAAAUCCGUUAUCGAAAGAUGUGUGGGUUCAAGUCCCUCCCCGGGCA